GCGGGUGUAAUUCAGNGGUAGAAUGUCAGCUUCCCAAGCUGAACGUCGCCGGUUCAAAUCCGGUCACCCGCU
This 72-nucleotide transfer RNA is filed under the name Synechococcus sp. SAT82. Its description in RNAcentral is "tRNA-Gly". It matches the Rfam family "tRNA". Rfam says of the family: Transfer RNA (tRNA) molecules are approximately 80 nucleotides in length. The record is from RNAcentral. Lineage: Bacteria; Bacillati; Cyanobacteriota; Cyanophyceae; Synechococcales; Synechococcaceae.